RNAcentral lists this ribosomal RNA (570 nucleotides) under uncultured fungus. RNAcentral describes it as "eukaryotic LSU rRNA". The stretch from base 208 to 361 matches the Rfam family "5.8S ribosomal RNA". The record is from RNAcentral. Lineage: Eukaryota; Fungi.
CGUAACAAGGUCUCCGUAGGUGAACCUGCGGAGGGAUCAUUACACAAAUAUGAAGGUGGGCUGGAACCUCUCGGGGUUACAGCCUUGCUGAAUUAUUCACCCUUGUCUUUUGCGUACUUCUUGUUUCCUUGGUGGGUUCGCCCACCACUAGGACAAACAUAAACCUUUUGUAAUUGCAAUCAGCGUCAGUAACAAAUUAAUAAUUACAACUUUCAACAACGGAUCUCUUGGUUCUGGCAUCGAUGAAGAACGCAGCGAAAUGCGAUAAGUAGUGUGAAUUGCAGAAUUCAGUGAAUCAUCGAAUCUUUGAACGCACAUUGCGCCCUUUGGUAUUCCAAAGGGCAUGCCUGUUCGAGCGUCAUUUGUACCCUCAAGCUUUGCUUGGUGUUGGGCGUCUUGUCUCUAGCUUUGCUGGAGACUCGCCUUAAAGUAAUUGGCAGCCGGCCUACUGGUUUCGGAGCGCAGCACAAGUCGCACUCUCUAUCAGCAAAGGUCUAGCAUCCAUUAAGCCUUUUUUUCAACUUUUGACCUCGGAUCAGGUAGGGAUACCCGCUGAACUUAAGCAUAUCA